This 480-nucleotide ribosomal RNA is filed under the name uncultured bacterium. RNAcentral's name for it is "bacterial SSU rRNA". It matches the Rfam family "Bacterial small subunit ribosomal RNA", at positions 30 to 506 of the family's 1533-position model. The record is from RNAcentral.
UUGAACGCUGGCGGCAUGCUUUACACAUGCAAGUCGAACGGUAACAGGUCUUCGGAUGCUGACGAGUGGCGAACGGGUGAGUAAUGCAUCGGAACGUGCCCAGUCGUGGGGGAUAACGCAGCGAAAGCUGUGCUAAUACCGCAUACGAUCUAUGGAUGAAAGCGGGGGAUCGCAAGACCUCGCGCGAUUGGAGCGGCCGAUGUCAGAUUAGCUGGUUGGUGGGGUAAAGGCCUACCAAGGCGACGAUCCGUAGCUGGUCUGAGAGGAUGAUCAGCCACACUGGGACUGAGACACGGCCCAGACUCCUACGGGAGGCAGCAGUGGGGAAUUUUGGACAAUGGGCGCAAGCCUGAUCCAGCCAUGCCGCGUGAGUGAAGAAGGCCUUCGGGUUGUAAAGCUCUUUCAGACGGAAAGAAAUCGGGCGGGUGAAUAGCCUGCCUGGAUGACGGUACUGUCAGAAGAAGCACCGGCUAACUACGU